Molecule: ribosomal RNA, 253 nt
Filed under: uncultured bacterium
Lineage: Bacteria
Description: partial 16S ribosomal RNA
Rfam family: Bacterial small subunit ribosomal RNA
Source: RNAcentral
UACGUAGGGUGCGAGCGUUAAUCGGAAUUACUGGGCGUAAAGCGUGCGCAGGCGGUUCGUCGUGUCUGAUGUGAAAGCCCCGGGCUCAACCUGGGAAUGGCAUUGGAAACUGGCGGACUAGAGUGUGGCAGAGGGGGGUGGAAUUCCGCGUGUAGCAGUGAAAUGCGUAGAGAUGCGGAGGAACACCGAUGGCGAAGGCAGCCACCUGGGCUAACACUGACGCUAAGGCACGAAAGCGUGGGGAGCAAACAGG